CACUAGAUGGCUGAAAGUAAGUAAUGGUCUCUUAAACCAAAAUAUAACAUAUUAACAAAUGUUUUUAGUGA
RNAcentral lists this transfer RNA (71 nucleotides) under Tomocerus caputiviolaceus. RNAcentral's name for it is "tRNA-Lys". The record is from RNAcentral. Lineage: Eukaryota; Metazoa; Arthropoda; Collembola; Entomobryomorpha; Tomoceridae.